This 67-nucleotide transfer RNA is filed under the name Rhopalus maculatus. Its description in RNAcentral is "tRNA-Trp". Lineage: Eukaryota; Metazoa; Arthropoda; Insecta; Hemiptera; Rhopalidae. The record is from RNAcentral.
AAAGCUUUAAGUUAAAUAAACUAUUAACCUUCAAAGUUAAAUAUAUAUAUACAUUAUAUAAGCUUUA